Molecule: transfer RNA, 84 nt
Filed under: Phaeobacter inhibens
Lineage: Bacteria; Pseudomonadati; Pseudomonadota; Alphaproteobacteria; Rhodobacterales; Roseobacteraceae
Description: tRNA-Ala
Source: RNAcentral
GGCUGGCGGGGCUGCGCAGGGACAGGCGGUUGCUGGCAUCGGCGGCGGUGGCAAUGCCCAAGCGUUCCAGCCGGUUGCCGGUCA